GAUUAUCACUGGGGGUGCUUGAAAAAGCUGAGAUCAUACCCUUACAACCUGCCAGAUAAUGCUGGAAAGGGAAGUGCAAGAAUACUUCU
Molecule: non-coding RNA, 89 nt
Filed under: Peptoniphilus sp. BV3C26
Lineage: Bacteria; Bacillati; Bacillota; Tissierellia; Tissierellales; Peptoniphilaceae
Also listed under: 1 other name
Description: Clostridiales bacterium BV3C26 TPP riboswitch aptamer (THI element)
Rfam family: TPP riboswitch aptamer (THI element)
About the family: Vitamin B(1) in its active form thiamin pyrophosphate (TPP) is an essential coenzyme that is synthesised by coupling of pyrimidine and thiazole moieties in bacteria. The previously detected thiamin-regulatory element, thi box was extended, resulting in a new, highly conserved RNA secondary structure, the THI element, which is widely distributed in eubacteria and also occurs in some archaea.
Source: Rfam by way of RNAcentral